GUCUCUGUGGCGCAAUCUGUUAGCGCGUUCGGCUGUUAACCGAAAGGUUGAUGGAUCGUGUCCAUCCAGGGACG
Non-coding RNA from Paramuricea clavata, 74 nucleotides. NCBI's taxonomy places the organism in Eukaryota, Metazoa, Cnidaria, Anthozoa, Malacalcyonacea, Plexauridae. The record is from the annotation of a GenBank genome assembly.